RNAcentral lists this ribosomal RNA (550 nucleotides) under uncultured bacterium. RNAcentral describes it as "bacterial SSU rRNA". It matches the Rfam family "Bacterial small subunit ribosomal RNA", at positions 355 to 896 of the family's 1533-position model. The record is from RNAcentral.
UAGGGAAUCUUCGGCAAUGGACGGAAGUCUGACCGAGCAACGCCGCGUGAGUGAAGAAGGUUUUCGGAUCGUAAAGCUCUGUUGUAAGAGAAGAACGAGUGUGAGAGUGGAAAGUUCACACUGUGACGGUAUCUUACCAGAAAGGGACGGCUAACUACGUGCCAGCAGCCGCGGUAAUACGUAGGUCCCGAGCGUUGUCCGGAUUUAUUGGGCGUAAAGCGAGCGCAGGCGGUUAGAUAAGUCUGAGGUUAAAGGCUGUGGCUUAACCAUAGUAGGCUUUGGAAACUGUUUAACUUGAGUGCAAGAGGGGAGAGUGGAAUUCCAUGUGUAGCGGUGAAAUGCGUAGAUAUAUGGAGGAACACCGGUGGCGAAAGCGGCUCUCUGGCUUGUAACUGACGCUGAGGCUCGAAAGCGUGGGGAGCAAACAGGAUUAGAUACCCUGGUAGUCCACGCUGUAAACGAUGAGUGCUAGGUGUUAGACCCUUUCCGGGGUUUAGUGCCGUAGCUAACGCAUUAAGCACUCCGCCUGGGGAGUACGACCGCAAGGUUG